AGAACAGUGAAGAGAUUAGGAAAGGAAAAAGUAGGAAAAGGAGUGCUGGUUGAUUGGGAGCAGGGCCUACGAGAGAGAGUCCUCCAUUCCUUUUGGGAAUAUUAGUGGAUGGGACAGAAAGCUGAGGAACAGAAGGUUUCAACAGUUAAAACAAGUACAUCCUCUAUCAGAUCAGACAUGACCAGAUAGAGGCGAUUGACGUGCGAUGGAACUCCCAUAUUUUUAGUGGUGUCAAUCAGAUCAGACAUGACCAGAUAGAGGCGAUUGACGUGCGAUGGAACUCCCAUUUUUUUAGUGGGAUAAAUAAUUGAAGCCUCCUCCCCUCAUUUACCAUACGCUCCAAUAAAAUUUUAAAAGCUUCUCUAUUUCCUUUCUUUCUUACUGAUUUAACAAUAAUGUUUAUUUAGAAA
Molecule: long non-coding RNA, 410 nt
Filed under: Nicotiana benthamiana
Lineage: Eukaryota; Viridiplantae; Streptophyta; Magnoliopsida; Solanales; Solanaceae
Description: long non-coding RNA (NBEN_LNC041706)
Source: RNAcentral